RNAcentral lists this ribosomal RNA (477 nucleotides) under uncultured bacterium. RNAcentral describes it as "partial 16S ribosomal RNA". It matches the Rfam family "Bacterial small subunit ribosomal RNA", at positions 28 to 507 of the family's 1533-position model. The record is from RNAcentral.
GACGAACGCUGGUGGCGUGCUUAACACAUGCAAGUCGAACGGGAUUUAGUAAACAGAAGCCUCGGUGGAAGAUUACUAAUGAGAGUGGCGAACGGGUGAGUAACGCGUGAGCAACCUGCCUAUGACAGUGGGAUAGCCUCGGGAAACCGGGAUAAUACCGCAUAAAAUCGUAGAAACACAUGUUUUAACGGUCAAAGAUUUAUCGGUCAUAGAUGGGCUCGCGUCUGAUUAGCUAGUUGGUGAGAUAACAGCCCACCAAGGCGACGAUCAGUAGCCGGUCUGAGAGGAUGAACGGCCACAUUGGAACUGAGACACGGUCCAAACUCCUACGGGAGGCAGCAGUGGGGAAUAUUGCACAAUGGGGGAAACCCUGAUGCAGCGACGCCGCGUGAACGAAGAAGGUAUUCGUAUCGUAAAGUUCUGUCCUAUGGGAAGAUAAUGACAGUACCAGAGAAGAAAGCUCCGGCUAAAUACGUG